Molecule: long non-coding RNA, 269 nt
Organism: Pieris brassicae (large cabbage white)
Lineage: Eukaryota; Metazoa; Arthropoda; Insecta; Lepidoptera; Pieridae
Exons: 2
Source: RefSeq, a predicted model, not a curated record
UCUAACUUGCUGUAAAGGAUAUCACAAAGCUAUUAUGACGUAAAUCACACAUAAAAAACGAGAUGCCCGCCGGAAACCUGGAAAGAUGAAAUAAAGGAGAUAGUGGGGAAAGAUUAAAAUAUAGAAGCGAAGAUGAGAGACAAGUGGAAGUGUUUGGAGGAGAUCUUCACUCCGUCGGGGAUCGCGUACUAAUAUUAAAUAUAAUAAUAAAAUAAACAAUGUAAUCUUUAUUAUAGUACAUGAAUAUAGGAUUUUAUUUUUUAUUUUUA